Molecule: ribosomal RNA, 253 nt
Filed under: uncultured bacterium
Lineage: Bacteria
Description: partial 16S ribosomal RNA
Rfam family: Bacterial small subunit ribosomal RNA
Source: RNAcentral
UACGAAGGGGGCUAGCGUUGCUCGGAAUCACUGGGCGUAAAGCGCACGUAGGCGGACUCUUAAGUCGGGGGUGAAAGCCCGGGGCUCAACCCCGGAAUUGCCUUCGAUACUGGGAGUCUUGAGUAUGGCAGAGGUUGGUGGAACUGCGAGUGUAGAGGUGAAAUUCGUAGAUAUUCGCAAGAACACCAGUGGCGAAGGCGGCCAACUGGGCCAUUACUGACGCUGAGGUGCGAAAGCGUGGGGAGCAAACAGG